UGCCCCAUGGCUGAGUUGGUUACAGCGUCCGACUGUUAUGCCUCACUGAGGACGGAACUCAGCAUUGCUGAAGACAUCGGAAGGUCGUGAGUUCGAGCCUCACUGGGGCAG
This is a non-coding RNA of Daedalea quercina L-15889, 111 nucleotides long. The record is from Rfam. Lineage: Eukaryota; Fungi; Basidiomycota; Agaricomycetes; Polyporales; Fomitopsidaceae.